This 827-nucleotide ribosomal RNA is filed under the name uncultured marine bacterium. Its description in RNAcentral is "bacterial SSU rRNA". It matches the Rfam family "Bacterial small subunit ribosomal RNA", at positions 60 to 935 of the family's 1533-position model. The record is from RNAcentral.
AGUCGAACGCAGUAGCAAUACUGAGUGGCAAACGGGUGAGUAUAAUGUGGGAAUCUGCCUUUUGGUUUGGAAUAACAAGGGGAAACUUGUGCUAAUACCGAAUAAGCCCUUACGGGGAAAGUUUUAACGCCGAAAGAUGAGCCUGCACUUGAUUAGCUAGUUGGUAAGGUAAAGGCUUACCAAGGCAACGAUCAAUAGCUGUUCUUAGAGGAAGACCAGCCACAUUGGGACUGAGACACGGCCCAGACUCCUACGGGAGGCAGCAGUGGGGAAUCUUGCACAAUGGGGGAAACCCUGAUGCAGCGAUGCCGCGUGAGUGAAGAAGGCCCUUGGGUUGUAAAACUCUUUCGUCGGGGAAGAAAAUGACUGUACCCGAAUAAGAAGGUCCGGCUAACUUCGUGCCAGCAGCCGCGGUAAUACGAAGGGACCUAGCGUAGUUCGGAAUUACUGGGCUUAAAGAGCUCGUAGGUGGUUAAAAAAGUUGAUGGUGAAAUCCCAAGGCUCAACCUUGGAACUGCCAUCAAAACUUUUUAGCUAGAGUGUGAUAGAGGUAAGUGGAAUUUCUAGUGUAGAGGUGAAAUUCGUAGAUAUUAGAAAGAACACCAAAUGCGAAGGCAACUUACUGGGUCACUACUGACACUGAGGAGCGAAAGCAUGGGUAGCGAAGAGGAUUAGAUACCCUCGUAGUCCAUGCCGUAAACGAUGUGUGCUAGACGUUGGAAAUAUAUUUUUCAGUGUCGCAGCGAAAGCAUUAAGCACACCGCCUGGGGAGUACGACCGCAAGGUUAAAACUCAAAUGAAUUGACGGGGACCCGCACAAGCAGUGG